RNAcentral lists this unclassified non-coding RNA (433 nucleotides) under soil metagenome. Its description in RNAcentral is "partial contains 5.8S ribosomal RNA, internal transcribed spacer 2, and large subunit ribosomal RNA". The stretch from base 1 to 120 matches the Rfam family "5.8S ribosomal RNA", at positions 35 to 154 of the family's 154-position model. The record is from RNAcentral.
GAUGAAGAACGCAGCGAAAUGCGAUACGUAAUGUGAAUUGCAGAAUUCAGUGAAUCAUCGAAUCUUUGAACGCAUAUUGCGCUCUCUGGUAUUCCGGAGAGCAUGCUUGUUUGAGUAUCAGUAAACACCUCAACUCCCUUUUCUUUUUUGAAAUGGGAGCUGGACUUGAGUGAUCUCAACACUUUUCUCACUGGAAAGUGGCGGGUCACUUGAAAUGCAGGUGCAGCUGGACUUUUCUCUGAGCUAUAAGCAUAUCUAUUUAGUCUGCCUAAAAAACAGAUUAUUACCUUUGCUGCAGCUAACAUAAAGGAGAUGAGUUCUUGUGCUGACUGAUGCAGGAUUCACAGAGACAGCUUUGCGGCUGACUUUGUAAACUCGAUCUCAAAUCAAGUAAGACUACCCGCUGAACUUAAGCAUAUCAAUAAGCGGAGGA